Molecule: long non-coding RNA, 789 nt
Filed under: Gossypium barbadense (sea-island cotton)
Lineage: Eukaryota; Viridiplantae; Streptophyta; Magnoliopsida; Malvales; Malvaceae
Description: long non-coding RNA (GBAR_LNC020728)
Source: RNAcentral
CCGGCUCAAUUUUACCCAGGCCUUGAACUCAAAACACAAAAUAAUAAACAAAAUUAAAACAAAAUCCAUGGCCCAAAUAAAAACACAACAGAGGCCCAAAAUGGCAAAACCCUAGCCCAAUUCAGCACCACGACCAGCAGCCUCAGUGUGCCGUACAUCUCCUCGUGCCUUCACAGCGCACUCGACGCCCGAAGCACGACCGGUUUUGCACCAAAAUGGUCUGGGUUAUCCUUCCAACACCCGUUGACCUUGCCCAAAACCUGCAAAUAUGACAAAAUGAUAGAAGAAAGCAGGGACAGAAGAGCAGUAGAAUACAGUAAAAAGAAAAAACAACGUAAUCGGCUAUAAAAGCCGAACCUAAUGUAAUUCAAAGGAGGUUUUUUUUUCCCUCUGGAAUAUAUGUGAACAAGAAAACAGAAAUCAAAAGGUUUAGAUUUAUCCAUUUACACUCCAUUUUAAUCUAUUUUAUUUUUUUUGUGUGUUCAUUAUUUACAUGCAAAAGUAGAAACGAAAAACAAAAAGGGAGAGUACCUUCCGGUUUCGAAAGCCCGUCGCCGGAGAUCUUCUCGGUGUUGGAAUCGGACCGAAGAGGGUACGAAAAAUCCCUCCUUUUUUCGGCUUAUUGGGUCUAAAGGACAUUUUUUAAGGAUCGAGAAUGGGGCUUUAAAACCCGACUUUUGAGUGACUCUGGCCACCGUCCACGGCGAGGCUGGUGACGGUCUCUCGCCGGAUUCUGGGCAGCUUUCGGAAAAGGCAGAGAGGAGGAGGGAGAGCCUUUUGAAAUUUUUG